This 459-nucleotide ribosomal RNA is filed under the name uncultured bacterium. Its description in RNAcentral is "bacterial SSU rRNA". It matches the Rfam family "Bacterial small subunit ribosomal RNA", at positions 29 to 534 of the family's 1533-position model. The record is from RNAcentral.
AACGAACGCUGGCGGCAUGCCUAACACAUGCAAGUCGAACGAGACCUUCGGGUCUAGUGGCGCACGGGUGCGUAACACGUGGGAAUUUGCCUCGGGGUAUGGAAUAACUCAGGGAAACUUGAGCUAAUACCAUAUAAUGUCUUCGGACCAAAGAUUUAUCGCCCUGAGAUAAGCCCGCGUAGGAUUAGCUAGUUGGUGGGGUAAAGGCUCACCAAGGCGACGAUCCUUAGCUGGUCUGAGAGGAUGAUCAGCCACACUGGGACUGAGACACGGCCCAGACUCCUACGGGAGGCAGCAGUGGGGAAUAUUGGACAAUGGGCGAAAGCCUGAUCCAGCAAUGCCGCGUGAGUGAUGAAGGCCUUAGGGUUGUAAAGCUCUUUACCAGGGAUGAUAAUGACAGUACCUGGAGAAUAAGCUCCGGCUAACUCCGUGCCAGCAGCCGCGGUAAAGUGACUACUG